This 250-nucleotide long non-coding RNA is filed under the name Elaeis guineensis (African oil palm). RNAcentral describes it as "long non-coding RNA (EGUI_LNC062076)". Lineage: Eukaryota; Viridiplantae; Streptophyta; Magnoliopsida; Arecales; Arecaceae. The record is from RNAcentral.
GGGACCUGCAAGGGAAGCCUAAACUGGAGUUGGGGGUGCUCCGGCAAGACCCUCCAAUGCUCAAGUCAGUACUCUGCUUCAACAGAAAUGGAGUGCUCGAGUGAAAAUUUUAGUAGAGUUUCGAGAUAGAGUUUAAAGCUUAGAGAAGAACGUAUCUGGGGGUCUCUUUUUAUAGACGGAGAGCAUAACUGAUUGGUAGCGAUGUCUGUAACUGCCUGGUAGUGGGCCGUUCAGAGCCGUGCGGAGUUUG